RNAcentral lists this ribosomal RNA (304 nucleotides) under uncultured soil bacterium. Its description in RNAcentral is "bacterial SSU rRNA". It matches the Rfam family "Bacterial small subunit ribosomal RNA", at positions 26 to 334 of the family's 1533-position model. The record is from RNAcentral.
AGGACGAACGCUGGCGGCGUGCUUAACACAUGCAAGUCGAGCGGUAAGGCCUUUCGGGGUACACGAGCGGCGAACGGGUGAGUAACACGUGGGUGAUCUGCCCUGCACUCUGGGAUAAGCCUGGGAAACUGGGUCUAAUACCGGAUAUGACCUGCUCUCGCAUGGGGGUGGGUGGAAAGAUUUAUUGGUGCAGGAUGGGCCCGCGGCCUAUCAGCUUGUUGGUGGGGUAAUGGCCUACCAAGGCGACGACGGGUAGCCGACCUGAGAGGGUGACCGGCCACACUGGGACUGAGACACGGCCCAG